This 173-nucleotide non-coding RNA is filed under the name Nakaseomyces nivariensis. The record is from RNAcentral. Lineage: Eukaryota; Fungi; Ascomycota; Saccharomycetes; Saccharomycetales; Saccharomycetaceae.
AAGAAAAGUCUUAUAUAUAUAAAUUAUAUAAUAAUAAUUAUUAUAUACAUAAAAUAAUAAAUAUAAAUAAAUAAUAACAUGAAAAUAAAUAUUUUAAUAUACAUAUAUAAUUAAUAUAUAUAUAUAUAUAUAUAUUAUAAAGUUAUAUAUUAACUAUACAUAAAUAAGCUUAU